This 274-nucleotide ribosomal RNA is filed under the name uncultured bacterium. RNAcentral describes it as "partial 16S ribosomal RNA". It matches the Rfam family "Bacterial small subunit ribosomal RNA", at positions 523 to 796 of the family's 1533-position model. The record is from RNAcentral.
CUACGAAAGGUGCAAGCGUUGUUCGGAUUUACUGGGCGUAAAGAGAGUGUAGGUUGUUUAUUAAGUCGGAUGUGAAAUCCCGGGGCUCAACCUCGGAACUGCAUUCGAUACUGAUAGGCUAGAGUUUGGGAGGGGUAAGCGGAAUUCCGUGUGUAGCAGUGAAAUGCGUAGAUAUACGGAGGAACACCUGAGGCGAAGGCGGCUUACUGGACCAAUACUGACACUGAGACUCGAAAGCGUGGGUAGCAAACAGGAUUAGAAACCCCGGUAGUCC